UUCAAGUCUAAUCAUAAGUUUUCGCGUCUAACUUUAAUCGUUCGUCUUAUUUAAAAAAAAUUAUAAUUGGUAUUUUUUUUGUUAUGUGAUGAUAAAACAUGAAUAGUACUUUACUCGUGACUUACGUUUUUAAUUUUUUUCAAAAAAUUUUUAACUAAGACAGACGGUCAAAGUUGGGUGCGGAAAAUCAUGGCUGCACUUAAA
This is a non-coding RNA of Oryza barthii, 204 nucleotides long. The record is from Rfam. Lineage: Eukaryota; Viridiplantae; Streptophyta; Magnoliopsida; Poales; Poaceae.